This 3378-nucleotide long non-coding RNA is filed under the name Gossypium raimondii (Peruvian cotton). Its description in RNAcentral is "long non-coding RNA (GRAI_LNC011185)". Lineage: Eukaryota; Viridiplantae; Streptophyta; Magnoliopsida; Malvales; Malvaceae. The record is from RNAcentral.
GUAUCCCUUCCGGUAAAUGGAUUGCAAGGCUUAUCUUCCUUAUCUUCACUACGGAUUCAAAAUUGUAAGACAUUAGCCUCUUUAUCUGAGGGUGUGGGAUAUCUGACUUCACUCCAAGACUUACUUAUUAAUGGAUGUCCAGAGUUGACCUCAUUGCCAAGGAGUAUCCAACACCUCUCUUCUCUUCGAUAUCUGCAGAUUAGGUGUUGUAGGGGUUUAAUUUCUCUCCCAGAUGAGAUACAACACCUCACCUUGCUUUCAUUAUUGGAGAUUUCGUAUUGCUCUAAUUUGAUGUCAUUGCCCCAAGGGGUACGUAACCUCAAUGCUCUGGAAACACUAAGAAUCAGAGGAUGCCACCCACCUGAAAAGACGGUGUGAGAAAGUGAGAGGAGAGGAUUGGCCCAACAUAGCCCACAUUCCGUUCAUUGACAUCUCUUAGGUGAUUCUCUACUUUUGAAUUUUAAUUUUAAAUAAGAAAAUUCUUGAUUUUAAUCAUAUUCACGAAUUAUGUAAAAAGGAUUUGACAUUUACAUUUUUGUGAAUAAGGAUCUCUGCAUCUGCAGGAUCAUUUCAUUCAUAUCUAUUAUUAAUAGUUUUCAUUUGAUGAAUUUAUGAUAUGAUUGUCUAAAUACAUUUUCAGGAUUGGUGAGUGACAACUUUUGUUAAAUUCGAGGAUCUAUUUUGCAAUUUGAAGAAAAAAGACAACAUUGCAUUAAAUUCGCAGACCAAUUCUAUCCCCCAAUAAGAGCAGGUAUGAAUAAAUAGAUGGCAAAUAAUUUUAGUUUCUAACUUCUUAUGCUCAUCACACGUAACGUUGUUAAACUCUAUUAUGUGUAUGUGCAUAGGCAUGUUAUUGGUCGCUUCGAUGAUAAAGGUUGAGGUGCUGAGGCUUUGAUGUGUCGAGUUUGAAUCACACCAUGUGUAGUUUUUUCUUUAGAUUAUUUUAGACUUAAGUAUUAUCAUAUUGAGUCAUACUCAAAUAUAUGUCCCAAUUUUCGAAUUAUUUAUUGGAACGUAAAUAAUCUUUUAAUAAAAUUAUACGAAAAAUUAUAAUGACAUUUUUUAUUUUAUCACCCUUUUUAAUAUUAUUAGACUUUUCGAAUUCUUUUAUGCACGGUAGGAAGUACGGUGAUUGUCACUACUCGACUCGAGAAAGGCUCUUAUGAUGGCUACAACUCCUUUCUAUCGCUUGGGAUGUUUGUCGGAUGAUGAUUCUUCGUCUUUGUUCAAGCGAAGAGCCUUUGGGAUGGGAAAGAAUGGAAGCAACGCGAACCUGGAAACCAUUGGGAGGCGAAUAGUGCAGAGAUGUGGAGGGGUACCAUUGGCAAUUAAGGCCAUAGGAAGCAUAUUGCGUUUUAGAAGUCAAGAAAGUGAAUGGUUACGCGUCAAAGAUAGUGAGAUAUGGGAUUUGGAAGAUGAGGGAAGCAGAAUCAUAGCUGUGUUGAGGCUAAGUCAUGAACAUCUUCAACCGUAUAUGAGACAAUGUUUUUCAUUUUGCUCGAUAUUUCCCAAAGAUUCUGUCAUGACAAAGGACAAGCUUUUAGCACUAUGGAUGGCAAAUGGAUUUAUUCCUUCUCGAGGACCAUUGGGUUUGCAUGAUAUGGGUUGUGAAAUAUUCUCUGAAUUAACUUGGAGGUCCUUUUUUCAAGAAAUUGAAGAGGAUGUUGAUGGAACUGUUACAUGUAAAAUGCAUGAUCUCAUCCAUGAUCUUGCAACAUCGAUUAUGAGACAAGAGUGCUGUGUGAUUGAGCCAAAUGAGGUGUCACAAAUUCCAAAAACUGCUCCUCACUUGUUUGUUUAUAAUUAUAAUAUCAGUCCAUCGACAAACAUUAUGGACUUAACCACAUUGCAACCGCUGCAAUCUUUGAUCCUAUGAGGCGAUGGUUACUUUAACCACUCUAAUCCUUCCCGUUUCAUUAGUAAACAAAAGUAUCUCAAGGUGUUGCAUUUGGGUUUUUAUAUGAGCAAUAUCGAAUUUAAAAUUUCGAAACACUUGAGGUAUCUGUACCUUCACAAUUCUACUGUGAAAACUUUACCUGAAUCAACAGGCUCUCUUCUUAACUUGCAGACACUAAGCCUCAAAGAUUGUGGCAGUCUUAACAUGUUAUCCAAAGGUACGAAGAACUUGAAAAAUCUUAGGUACUUGGACAUCAGAGGUUGCCAUACACUAACUUCUAUGCCUGUUGCAUUGGGACAAUGUCUUUUUUGCGCAAGCUUAGCAUAUUCAUGUUGGGAAAGAAAGAUGGUUGCGGCAUUGAUGAGUUGAAAGAGUUGGCCCUAGAGGGGGAACUGGGCAUCAAAGGACUAACCAACGUGAAGAGUGCGAUGGAAGCUAAAAAGGCAAAUUUGAUAAAGAAGCGCAAUUUAAGAUCACUUAGCUUAUCUUGGCAAGGAAAUCGCAACGAGAACUCUCAUCAUCAAAAUGAUGGAGAGAUUCUUUUGUGCUCUCCAACCUCAUUCAACCUUGAAGAAGUUACGCAUAAUUGGUUACCAAGGUUUGAUGUUUCCGUAUUGGAUGAUGGAUCUGCUUCUACCAAACCUUGUUGAAAUCUCACUCGGAAACUGUGAAAGAUGCCAUCAGCUACCACCUCUAAGGAAAUUGCGCUUCCUUAAGGUCCUUAAUAUUUGUAGAAUUAGUGCUCUGAAGUAUAUUGACGACACCUUCUAUGGUGAUAUGGAAAGUUCUUUUCCAUCACUCGAGGUUCUCAGCAUACGUGAGGCGCUAUGUUUGGAGGAAUGGACAACAGUGAAUGGUAGAGAACAUUUUCCUCUCCUGAGUUCAUUAACUGUCGAUUGUUGUCCUAAAUUGGUUAAACUGCCAAUGAUUCAAUCUCUAAAAGAGCUACAUAUUGGAGAAACUAAUGUUACUUUACUCACAUCUUUGAUUAUGAAUGCCACUGUUCUUACCUCUCUCCGGAUUAGCGACUUCAACGAGUUACCGGAUGAACUACUAAAAAAUCAAAAGCAACUUGAUAGGUUGAAUGUUUUUUGUUGUAGUCUAAAGUCUUCAUCUGAUCUGCUGGAUAAUCUAUCCUGCCUUAAGCUUGCUCAAUUGAAAGCUUGCCUGCAGGACUUCAAAACCUCAGCUCCUUAGAAACUUUGGAUUUAAAUUUUUGUGACAGCCUUGUAUCCCUUCCGGUAAAUGGAUUGCAACGCUUAUCUUCCUUGUGUUCACUGCGGGUUCAACAUUGUAAGACAUUAGCCUCUUUAUCUGAGGGGAUGCGAUAUCUGACUUCACUCCAAGACUUUACUUAUUAAUGAAUGUCCAGAGUUAACCUCAUUGCCAAGGAGUAUCCAACACCUCUCUUCUCUUCGAUAUCUGCAGAUUAGGUGUUGUAGGGGUUUAAUUUCUCUCCCAGAUGAGAUGCAACACCUCUC